Molecule: ribosomal RNA, 468 nt
Filed under: uncultured bacterium
Lineage: Bacteria
Description: partial 16S ribosomal RNA
Rfam family: Bacterial small subunit ribosomal RNA
Source: RNAcentral
GACGAACGCUGGCGGCGUGCUUAACACAUGCAAGUCGAACGGAAAGGCCCUGCUUUUGUGGGGUGCUCGAGUGGCGAACGGGUGAGUAACACGUGAGUAACCUGCCCUUGACUUUGGGAUAACUUCAGGAAACUGGGGCUAAUACCGGAUAGGAGCUCCUGCUGCAUGGUGGUGGUUGGAAAGUUUCGGCGGUUGGGGAUGGACUCGCGGCUUAUCAGCUUGUUGGUGGGGUAGUGGCUUACCAAGGCUUUGACGGGUAGCCGGCCUGAGAGGGUGACCGGCCACAUUGGGACUAAGAUACGCCGCAGACUCCUACGGGAGGCAGCAGUGGGGAAUAUUGCACAAUGGGCGGAAGCCUGAUGCAGCAACGCCGCGUGCGGGAUGACGGCCUUCGAGUUGUAAACCGAUUUCGCCUGUGACGAAGCGUGAGUGACGGUAAUGGGUAAAGAAGCACCGGCUAACUACGUG